UACGUAGGGGGCAAGCGUUGUCCGGAUUUAUUGGGCGUAAAGAGCGUGUAGGCGGCCAGGUAGGUCUGCUGUGAAAACUCGAGGCUCAACCUCGAGAUGUCGGCGGAAACCAUCUGGCUAGAGUCCGGAAGAGGAGAAUGGAAUUCCCGGUGUAGCGGUGAAAUGCGCAGAUAUCGGGAAGAACACCCGUGGCGAAGGCGGGUCUCUGGACAGUUCCUGACGCUGAGGCACGAAAGCGUGGGGAGCAAACAGG
Molecule: ribosomal RNA, 253 nt
Filed under: uncultured bacterium
Lineage: Bacteria
Description: partial 16S ribosomal RNA
Rfam family: Bacterial small subunit ribosomal RNA
Source: RNAcentral